This 816-nucleotide ribosomal RNA is filed under the name uncultured bacterium. RNAcentral's name for it is "bacterial SSU rRNA". It matches the Rfam family "Bacterial small subunit ribosomal RNA", at positions 58 to 916 of the family's 1533-position model. The record is from RNAcentral.
CAAGUCGAACGGGAAUCUUCGGAUUCUAGUGGCGGACGGGUGAGUAACGCGUAAGAAUCUAACUUCAGGACGGGGACAACAGUUGGAAACGACUGCUAAUACCCGAUAUGCCGCGAGGUGAAACCUAAUUGGCCUGAAGAAGAGCUUGCGUCUGAUUAGCUAGUUGGUGGGGUAAGAGCCUACCAAGGCGACGAUCAGUAGCUGGUCUGAGAGGAUGAGCAGCCACACUGGGACUGAGACACGGCCCAGACUCCUACGGGAGGCAGCAGUGGGGAAUUUUCCGCAAUGGGCGAAAGCCUGACGGAGCAACGCCGCGUGAGGGAGGAGGGUCUUUGGAUUGUAAACCUCUUUUCUCAAGGAAGAAGUUCUGACGGUACUUGAGGAAUCAGCCUCGGCUAACUCCGUGCCAGCAGCCGCGGUAAUACGGGGGGGGCAAGCGUUAUCCGGAAUUAUUGGGCGUAAAGCGUCCGCAGGUGGUCAGCCAAGUCUGCCGUCAAAUCAGGUUGCUUAACGACCUAAAGGCGGUGGAAACUGGCAGACUAGAGAGCAGUAAGGGUAGCAGGAAUUCCCAGUGUAGCGGUGAAAUGCGUAGAGAUUGGGAAGAACAUCGGUGGCGAAAGCGUGCUACUGGGCUGUAUCUGACACUCAGGGACGAAAGCUAGGGGAGCGAAAGGGAUUAGAUACCCCUGUAGUCCUAGCCGUAAACGAUGGAUACUAGGCGUGGCUUGUAUCGACCCGAGCCGUGCCGAAGCUAACGCGUUAAGUAUCCCGCCUGGGGAGUACGCACGCAAGUGUGAAACUCAAAGGAAUUGACGG